UAGGGAAUCUUCCACAAUGGGCGAAAGCCUGAUGGAGCAACGCCGCGUGUGUGAUGAAGGCUUUCGGGUCGUAAAGCACUGUUGUAUGGGAAGAACAGCUAGAAUAGGAAAUGAUUUUAGCUUGACGGUACCAUACCAGAAAGGGACGGCUAAAUACGUGCCAG
RNAcentral lists this ribosomal RNA (164 nucleotides) under uncultured bacterium. RNAcentral describes it as "partial 16S rRNA". It matches the Rfam family "Bacterial small subunit ribosomal RNA", at positions 355 to 511 of the family's 1533-position model. The record is from RNAcentral.